CACAAUGUCAUCAGCACCCUGCAAAGAAAAAUGCCAACAUUGAGGGCUUUCACUACAAUAAACGAAGCGAAAAUGAAAGUGAAGCGAAAGUUUACCUCAUCAGCAAUUUUGAGAAGUGGCAUAUCACCAAUUGGCUCCACCACCUGUGGAGACUUCCCCUUAUCUGGGCAAGAAGACUCUGCCACAACGGGCAGACCCAUGGGAGCCUCUACAGAAUUCAAGAAGCAACAAAUCAAAAACCAAUAGCACAAGUAAAGGUAAAACAUCAAAAAAUGUAUUACUUUCUG
RNAcentral lists this long non-coding RNA (287 nucleotides) under Olea europaea (common olive). Its description in RNAcentral is "long non-coding RNA (OEUR_LNC001412)". Lineage: Eukaryota; Viridiplantae; Streptophyta; Magnoliopsida; Lamiales; Oleaceae. The record is from RNAcentral.